RNAcentral lists this RNase P RNA (395 nucleotides) under Patescibacteria group bacterium. Its description in RNAcentral is "RNase P RNA component class A". It matches the Rfam family "Bacterial RNase P class A". Rfam says of the family: Ribonuclease P (RNase P) is a ubiquitous endoribonuclease, found in archaea, bacteria and eukarya as well as chloroplasts and mitochondria. Its best characterised activity is the generation of mature 5'-ends of tRNAs by cleaving the 5'-leader elements of precursor-tRNAs. Cellular RNase Ps are ribonucleoproteins. The record is from RNAcentral.
CAAGGUAAAUGGAUGAUCGCUCUGCAUUUGCGGGGAGGAAAGUCCGGACUUCUAUUUCGUUUUUACGAAAUAAAAAAAGGUAGUCGCUAACAACGACCUGAAGUAAUUCAAGGGAAAGUGCCACAGAGACAAUACUAGCUACGCAUUUUGCGUGGUGAAAGGUGAAAAGUUAUGCAGUGUUUAAGUUAUGUUUGGAUUUUUCAAAUGUAAUUUAAGCUAUGUGUAUUCUGCGUUGGUGACAACGAUAGAUGGUAAACCCUGCCUGAAGCAAGAGCAAACUAUCCCUUUUGGGAUAAUGAAAAGUGGCUCGCUUGACUCUGUAAGCAAUUACAGAGCUAGAUAGAUGAUUAUCGCUCGCAAGAGUACAGAAUCCGGCUUAUAGUUUGCCUUGAAAU